This 368-nucleotide long non-coding RNA is filed under the name Jatropha curcas. Its description in RNAcentral is "long non-coding RNA (JCUR_LNC000027)". Lineage: Eukaryota; Viridiplantae; Streptophyta; Magnoliopsida; Malpighiales; Euphorbiaceae. The record is from RNAcentral.
GGAGGACGGCUCAUCGGGGGUUUCGGUGACUCCACUGACUAAUUUCCACGUGAUGUGAUUAUAUGAAGGUGAUAAUAACUGUGAUUGCUGUUGUAUUGUCAUUUGUGUGACACUGCAUGAUCAUAAAAUUAUUCGAUGACUAAUAAAAUAUUUCAGCAUUUGUGUGAUUGUGUGGGGUGAGAGGGUUAUCUAACCCUACUCAUUGAGUUUGGCGCUCACUCCUGCCUACCUUUUUUUUUUUCCAGGUAAUAGAAAGGAAGGAAACCCCUAUGGAGUGGAAACACUUAUUAUAAAAGACUGUUAAUGAUAGAAAUAACGAUGUGAAUGUAAAGGUAGAGUUCCGCAAUUGUUUUCUAGAUGGGUUGUAA